UUCCGCGAUAGCUCAGUCGGUAGAGCAAAUGACUGUUAAUCAUUGGGUCCCUGGUUCGAGUCCAGGUCGCGGAGCCAA
RNAcentral lists this transfer RNA (78 nucleotides) under Pseudomonas paraeruginosa PA7. RNAcentral describes it as "tRNA-Asn". It matches the Rfam family "tRNA". From Rfam's summary of the family: Transfer RNA (tRNA) molecules are approximately 80 nucleotides in length. Their secondary structure includes four short double-helical elements and three loops (D, anti-codon, and T loops). Further hydrogen bonds mediate the characteristic L-shaped molecular structure. tRNAs have two regions of fundamental functional importance: the anti-codon, which is responsible for specific mRNA codon recognition, and the 3' end, to which the tRNAs corresponding amino acid is attached (by aminoacyl-tRNA synthetases). tRNAs cope with the degeneracy of the genetic code in two manners: having more than one tRNA (with a specific anti-codon) for a particular amino acid; and 'wobble' base-pairing, i.e. permitting non-standard base-pairing at the 3rd anti-codon position. Lineage: Bacteria; Pseudomonadati; Pseudomonadota; Gammaproteobacteria; Pseudomonadales; Pseudomonadaceae. The record is from RNAcentral.